CCUACGGGUGGCAGCAGUAGGGAAUAUUCCACAAUGGGCGCAAGCCUGAUCGAGCAACGCCGCGUGGGUGAAGAAGGUCUUCGGAUCGUAACACCCUGUUGUUAGAGAAGAAAGUGCGUGAGAGUAACUGUUCACGUUUCGACGGUAUCUAACCAGAAAGCCACGGCUAACUACGUGCCAGCAGCCGCGGUAAGACGUAGGUGGCAAGCGUUAUCCGGAAUUAGUGGGCGUAAAGGGAAUGCAGGCGGUCUUUUAAGUCGGAUGUGAAAGCCUUCGGCUUAACCGGAGUAGUGCAUUGGAAACUGGGAGACUUGAGUGCAGAAGAGGAGAGUGGAACUCCAGGUGUAGCGGUGAAAUGCGUAGAUAUAUGGAAGAACACCAGUGGCGAAGGCGGCUCUCUGGUCUGUAACUGACGCUGAGGUUCGAAAGCGUGGGUAGCAAACAGGAUUAGAUACCCCUGUAGUC
This 465-nucleotide ribosomal RNA is filed under the name uncultured bacterium. RNAcentral's name for it is "partial 16S ribosomal RNA". It matches the Rfam family "Bacterial small subunit ribosomal RNA", at positions 338 to 795 of the family's 1533-position model. The record is from RNAcentral.